AAAGCGUGGGGAGCAAACAGGAUUAGAUACCCUGGUAGUCCACGCCGUAAACGAUGAGUGCUAAGUGUUAGAGGGUUUCCGCCCUUUAGUGCUGCAGCUAAAGCAUUAAGCACUCCGCCCGGGGAGUACGGCCGCAAGGGUGAAAAUCAAAGGAAAUGACGGGGGCCCGCACAAGCGGUGGAGCAUGUGGUUUAAUUUGAAGCAACACGAAGAACCUUACCAGGUCUUGACAUCUUCUGACACUCUUAGAGAUAGGAAUUUUCCCUUUGGGGGACAGAGUGACAGGUGGUGCAUGGUGUCGGCUCGUGUCGUGAGAUGUUGGGUUAAGUCCCGCAACGAGCGCAACCCUUGAUCUUAGUUGCCAGCAUUCAGUUGGGCACUCUAAGGUGACUGCCGGUGACAA
This 403-nucleotide ribosomal RNA is filed under the name Staphylococcus hominis. Its description in RNAcentral is "bacterial SSU rRNA". It matches the Rfam family "Bacterial small subunit ribosomal RNA", at positions 756 to 1161 of the family's 1533-position model. Lineage: Bacteria; Bacillati; Bacillota; Bacilli; Caryophanales; Staphylococcaceae. The record is from RNAcentral.